ACUUUUGCAGUUUUAAGAGUUUAUUGUGCACCUCUUAUGGUCUUUACUUUGCCUGCAUUUUGCCAUUUUCUUAAUAAUCAUAUAUUACCGGUUUCUUUUGGUCGUCUGCUUGCAGCUUUUGCAAAAUUUAUUCAGAAGUUGUAAUGUGUCAAUGGUGUUUGACAUUUUCAUGGUAUUGCAUGCUUUUGAGGCAAAUUACUUUUGUGGAUUCUGCA
Molecule: unclassified non-coding RNA, 215 nt
Filed under: Hevea brasiliensis (rubber tree)
Lineage: Eukaryota; Viridiplantae; Streptophyta; Magnoliopsida; Malpighiales; Euphorbiaceae
Source: RNAcentral